Molecule: ribosomal RNA, 367 nt
Filed under: uncultured bacterium
Lineage: Bacteria
Description: bacterial SSU rRNA
Rfam family: Bacterial small subunit ribosomal RNA
Source: RNAcentral
GAUGAACGCUAGCUACAGGCUUAACACAUGCAAGUCGAGGGGAAACGAUGGAGAAAGCUUGCUUUUCUAGGCGUCGACCGGCGCACGGGUGAGUAACGCGUAUCCAACCUGCCCAUCACUUGGGGAUAACCUUGCGAAAGUAAGACUAAUACCCAAUGACGUCUCUAGAAGACAUCUGAAGGAGAUUACAGUACCGCAUGAUACAGUGAUCAAAGGAGCAAUCCGCUGAAAGAUGGGCUCGCGUCCGAUUAGAUAGUUGGUGAGGUAACGGCUCGACCAAGUCGACGAUCGGUAGCCGGACUGAGAGGUUGAACGGCCACAUUGGGACUGAGACACGGCCCAGACUCCUACGGGAGGCAGCAGUGGG